This 253-nucleotide ribosomal RNA is filed under the name uncultured bacterium. RNAcentral describes it as "partial 16S ribosomal RNA". It matches the Rfam family "Bacterial small subunit ribosomal RNA", at positions 524 to 776 of the family's 1533-position model. The record is from RNAcentral.
UACGUAGGGGGCAAGCGUUGUCCGGAAUCAUUGGGCGUAAAGAGCGUGUAGGCGGCCAGAAAAGUCCGCUGUGAAAACUCGAGGCUCAACUUCGAGCUGUCGGUGGAAACUUUCUGGCUAGAGUCCGGAAGAGGAGAAUGGAAUUCCUGGUGUAGCGGUGAAAUGCGCAGAUAUCAGGAGGAACACCGGUGGCGAAGGCGGUUCUCUGGGCAUGUCCUGACGCUGAGGAGCGAAAGUGUGGGGAGCGAACAGG